This 338-nucleotide ribosomal RNA is filed under the name uncultured bacterium. Its description in RNAcentral is "bacterial SSU rRNA". It matches the Rfam family "Bacterial small subunit ribosomal RNA", at positions 102 to 440 of the family's 1533-position model. The record is from RNAcentral.
ACGGGUGAGUAACGCGUGAGGAACCUGCCUUUCAGAGGGGGACAACAGUUGGAAACGACUGCUAAUACCGCAUAACAUAUAGAUGUCGCAUGGCAUUUAUAUCAAAGAUUUAUCGCUGAAAGAUGGCCUCGCGUCUGAUUAGCUAGUUGGUGAGGUAACGGCCCACCAAGGUGACGAUCAGUAGCCGGACUGAGAGGUUGAACGGCCACAUUGGGACUGAGAUACGGCCCAGACUCCUACGGGAGGCAGCAGUGGGGAAUAUUGGGCAAUGGGCGCAAGCCUGACCCAGCAACGCCGCGUGAAGGAAGAAGGCUUUCGGGUUGUAAACUUCUUUUGUC